Molecule: non-coding RNA, 71 nt
Organism: Glycine soja
Lineage: Eukaryota; Viridiplantae; Streptophyta; Magnoliopsida; Fabales; Fabaceae
Source: Rfam
GCUAUCUUAGCUCAGCUGGUAGAGCACAUGGUUUUUAACCAUGUGGUCGUGGGUUCAAUUUCCAGACAGCG